RNAcentral lists this ribosomal RNA (209 nucleotides) under Bacillus pumilus. RNAcentral's name for it is "partial 16S ribosomal RNA". It matches the Rfam family "Bacterial small subunit ribosomal RNA", at positions 399 to 600 of the family's 1533-position model. The record is from RNAcentral. Lineage: Bacteria; Bacillati; Bacillota; Bacilli; Caryophanales; Bacillaceae.
GCGUGAGUGAUGAAGGUUUUCGGAUCGUAAAGCUCUGUUGUUAGGGAAGAACAAGUGCCAGAGUAACUGCUUGCACCUUGACGGUACCUAACCAGAAAGCCACGGCUAACUACCUGCCAGCAGCCGCGGUAAUACGUAGGUGGCAAGCGUUGUCCGGAAUUNUUGGGCGUAAAGGGCUCGCAGGCGGGUUCUUAAGUCUGAUGNGAAAG